UGGGGGAUAUUGCACAAUGGGCGAAAGCCUGAUGCAGCGACGCCGCGUGGGGGAUGAAGGCUUUCGGGUUGUAAACCUCUUUCGCUAUCGAACAAGGCCCGCUUAGGGUGGGUUGAGGGUAGGUGGAGAAGAAGCGCCGGCUAACUACGUGCCAGCAGCCGCGGUAAUACGUAGGGCGCGAGCGUUGUCCGGUAUUAUUGGGCGUAAAGGGCUUGUAGGCGGCUUGUUGCGCCUGCUGUGAAAACGCGGGGCUUAACUUCGCGCGUGCAGUGGGUAAGGGCAGGCUUGAGUGUGGGAGGGGUGACUGGAAUUCCAGGUGUAGCGGUGGAAUGCGCAGAUAUCUGGAGGAACACCGAUGGCGAAGGCAGGUCACUGGGCCAUUACUGACGCUGAGGAGCGAAAGCAUGGGUAGCGAACAGG
This 420-nucleotide ribosomal RNA is filed under the name bacterium. Its description in RNAcentral is "partial 16S ribosomal RNA". It matches the Rfam family "Bacterial small subunit ribosomal RNA", at positions 355 to 776 of the family's 1533-position model. The record is from RNAcentral.